UUUUGUACUAAAUUUUUUAAGUUAGCUUGUUUCUCAACGUUUUAAUCUUGUACAUGCAAAUAGGAUUGUUUUCUUUUAAAUGAUCUAAUUUCUAAAUGAUUCUCAUAUGUAACAACUGUGAUCUGAAAUUUUUGUUUUGCUUGUUUUAGUAUCUUGAUUAUUGAUCUCUAUGUUCGCAUUUUUCCACUGUUCAUCAGAAAAUUGCACCUGCCCAAUGAUGGAGAAACUCAUUUCUCGAGUUGUUAAGUUGAUUCUUAUCACAAGCCUUUGCCCUCAUCCACAACUCUCUUUCUCUCUCUCUCACUCUCUCUCUUUCUUCAAACACAAACCCAUCCAAUCUAUCUGUCUUUUCCCAAUAUAUUUGCCUUCUCUUUUGGUAAAUUAUUAUAGUGGCUGUUGCUGUGUAGAGGUAGUGAUGAAAAUCAAUUUUAACUGAGGGCAUUUUCCCAUACUCUCUGAUCUUAAAGGUUCACUGAAUUGUUUUAUUAAUUUUCUUUCCCAGUUUGCACGAUUUAACUUUAAAGUGACGAUUUAGUUUCAAGAAUGACAUCAAAUAUUGAAACAUCUAAUUUUGAAGUGCAAGGAACUUGUGCAUAAAGUUAUUUUUUGUUCUCCAAAUCUUAUUUCGAGACAAUUUUUUUUUUAAUUUAAUCAAUUUUGGCUAACCAUCAUGUGUUGACUUAGUGGGCAUAAAGGCCCGGGAGAAAUAAGAGAAUUGGUGGUCACCUAUCUAAGAUUUAGUAUCUUACGCGUUUCUUAUCAACCAAUGUAACAGAGUUAGGUGGUGUUUUGGUGAAAUUAGUCGAGAUGCAUGAGAGUUGGCUUGGACACUCGUUGAUAUAAUUUUUUUUAAUCCAUUCUGGUUUAUAUGCAAGCAUUAUAAAUUUUUUUUUGAUAUCAGCUGUUAAAUAUUUUUAUAUAGUUUAACACAAGUGUUUGACCACCAUUUUUCCAAUUCCAAUACCAGAUUUUAUAUAUAUGUUGCAUAAGUUUUCGGUUUUUCUUUUGAAGUGAUCUUUAAGAAGGGUUGUCCAUUCUUUUGAAUGCUUGUAGCUUCAUUAGUUGGUUUUUUUUAGGUCAUUGCAGCAAGGUGGGAGAGUGUCACAUAGGCUGGUUAUAUAUGGCCAAUUUAAAGAGGCUGAUAUUCAAUAUAGAGCUUUUGGGUUCUAAAGUUAUGGUAGCACCUCGAACCGUUCACGCCUGACAUAAAUUUAAUGAUUAGGACCUAAAAGCAUUCUUUCCCCAAGUACAUGGAUCGAAACAGGUAAAGGUGAAAGUUCAGGAUCAUGAUAAAUUUUGAAUCUUUGUUUCUUUCUGAAUUAGUGAUUCUUCUAUCCUUUUGUUUUCAAUAUUUUGUUUUUAUUCAUGAUAUGCUGUCGCUAUUUAUAGACAUGAAUAUAUGAUAAUAUACGUGACUUUUAUAUUGGGUGUAAAGUCAUUUGUCUUUACAAAUCUCAUACACAAUCACUUGACUUCAUAAUAUUUGACAUUAUAAAAUUGGGUUUGGCUUGAACUCAUGGUCAUAAAGAUUUCUAGAUUUUACUGUAUUUCUUUCUUCUUAUUAUAAUUGUUUUUUAAUGUGCAUAUAUAUAGAUAUAUAUAAAUUGGUGGGGGUGGGAUGCGCUUCUGAUUAGGUUGGUUCGUUUGAAUUGUAUUUUCAGAGAUGUGCUGAUUGUAUGGUAUUUGGACCUUUUUGUAUGAAGAAAUUGGCUUUGCUUUAAAAGUUUCAUCUGCCCGAUGAUGGAAUUCACUGAUUAGAGCAGAUACUGAUGAUCUUCAUUAUAAGCCUUUGCCAUUAGCCAACUCACACAUAAUCUGUCUGUCUGUGUCUCUCUCUCUCUCUCUAUCUCUCUCUAUCUCUCUAUCUAUCUGCCUAUCUGAUAAUCCAUAUAUCUGAUUUCUUCUUUUUCUUCUUUUUUGUGAGUGGUUAAGGAUGUGCAGAGGCUAGUAAUGAAAAUCAAAUACAUCUAGAAAUGAUGAAGUAUGAUUAUGAUAUCUGAGGGCAUCUUGGAAAUGGUUAAUCUACAUGAAACUGUAACUGAUGUUGUAGUCAGAUUUUACAGAAGUAGUGUAUUUGUGAAUUGUGUUUAUCAAUUAAAAACACGUUUUUAAAAAAUUCUUCUUAAUGACUUUGUAAUUUUGUUUGAAAUUUUAACUAGAUUUAUAUUCUGCCUUAUAAGUUACUUCAAAAAUUUUCUCUAAACUCCCAGCUGUUCUAGGACACCUAUAUUACUUCAUGUGACCCUAUUUUUUGUAGUCAUCAAUGGUGAAGGUAUAUGAACAGAAAAGGUGUAAAUGCCAGCCUUUUGUGGGAUAGUUUAUUAGGAAAGUUAAUAAGCAUGAAAUAUGCUAUGCUAUUAAAUUAUGAAAUGUUGAUAAUGAUAAAGAGAACAAUUUAAGGUGUAGGAAUCUGCAUAUUAUUGAUUAGUGUUUGCAUCUUGAAAUUGCCUGUGCCCGAUGAUGGAAAAACUCGUGCUCUGAAGCAUUUGCAUUGAUUUCUAGUACUAGCCUUUGCCCUCAACCAUAACUCUUUCUCUCUCUCUUUCUCAAACUCUACAAACACAUACAUGCAUACAUAUAUAUAUAUAUACAUUAUACGCUUUCCAUUUCCUUUCUUUUCUUUUAUAGUGGCUGUAGAUGAGUAGAGGCUAGUAUGCGAAUGAAAUGCAAGCAUUGUCAAUGAGGAAUUAAGCUAUGAGUUCUGAGGGCAUUGUCAUCCUGUGUUUGGUUUUAAUGCAUUACCUGUUAUCCUUAUUGUAGACGUAGUGUUUGCUUGGUGCUCUCUGUGAUGGUAAUUGCAUCUGCCUAAAUGGGAAUGUGUGAGUUGUAUAGUUGUAUAGUGCCCAUUUGAUAACUGAGGUUACACAAAUUAUGCGUGCUCUGGUAAAGCUUCAUUGAUUCUUGCAUCUGCCCAAAUGGAAUGUGUUAAUUGUAUAGCGCCCAUUUGAUAACUAAGGAAACCAAGACAACACUCCAACCUCUGUGAAAAUAACAACUUAUUCAGAACUUUCAGGCUUUGAAUUGAGAAGAACAGCCAAAACAUGAUGUCUGAGUUCAUAGAUUUGCUUGGAUUUAAGAACAACUUUGACAACAAUUGUUCUUGUCUUUAAUUGUUAAUUAUAUAUAAACAUUUGUACA
Cucurbita pepo subsp. pepo (vegetable marrow) is the source of this 3138-nucleotide long non-coding RNA. RefSeq lists it as uncharacterized. The record is from RefSeq and is a predicted model, not a curated record. Lineage: Eukaryota; Viridiplantae; Streptophyta; Magnoliopsida; Cucurbitales; Cucurbitaceae.